RNAcentral lists this ribosomal RNA (138 nucleotides) under uncultured eukaryote. Its description in RNAcentral is "partial 18S ribosomal RNA". It matches the Rfam family "Eukaryotic small subunit ribosomal RNA", at positions 1299 to 1458 of the family's 1831-position model. The record is from RNAcentral.
UGGUGGGUUGCCUUGUCAGGUUGAUUCCGGUAACGAACGAGACCUCAGCCUGCUAAAUAGUCACGGGUACCUUGGUACACGCCUGACUUCUUAGAGGGACUAUUGGCGUCUAGUCAAUGGAAGUGUGAGGCAAUAACA